AAAUGAAUAGACGGGGACCCGCACAAGUGGUGGAGCAUGUUGCUUAAUUCGACAAUACACGAAAAACCUUACCUGGGCUUGACAUCCUUUGCAAAGCUAUAGAAAUAUAGUGGAGGAUAACAAAGAGACAGGUGGUGCAUGGUUGUCGUCAGCUCGUGUCGUGAGAUGUUGGGUUAAGUCCCGCAACGAGCGCAACCCUUAUUGUUAGUUACCUUAUCUGAUAAAACUGCUAGCGCAAGCUAGAGGAAGGUGGGGACGACGUCAAAUCAUCAUGCCCCUUAUGUCCAGGGCUGCAAACGUGCUACAAUGGUUGGUACAAAGUGUUACAAAAUCGCAAGGUCAAGUCAAUCACAAAAAGCCAAUCUCAGUUCGGAUUGAAGGCUGCAAUUCGCCUUCAUGAAGUUGGAAUCACUAGUAAUCGCGUAUCAGACAUGUCGUGGUGAAUACGUUCCCGGGUCUUGUACACACCGCCCGU
RNAcentral lists this ribosomal RNA (475 nucleotides) under uncultured bacterium. Its description in RNAcentral is "bacterial SSU rRNA". It matches the Rfam family "Bacterial small subunit ribosomal RNA", at positions 903 to 1397 of the family's 1533-position model. The record is from RNAcentral.